CCUACGGGUGGCAGCAGUGGGGAAUAUUGGACAAUGGGCGAAAGCCUGAUCCAGCCAUGCCGCGUGUGUGAAGAAGGCCUUCGGGUUGUAAAGCACUUUCAGUGGGGAAGAAAGCCUUGGGGCUAAUACCCUCGAGGAAGGACAUUACCCACAGAAGAAGCACCGGCUAACUCCGUGCCAGCAGCCGCGGUAAUACGGAGGGUGCGAGCGUUAAUCGGAAUUACUGGGCGUAAAGCGCGCGUAGGCGGUCUGAUAAGCCGGUUGUGAAAGCCCCGGGCUCAACCUGGGAACGGCAUCCGGAACUGUCAGGCUAGAGUGCAGGAGAGGAAGGUAGAAUUCCCGGUGUAGCAGUGAAAUGCGUAGAGAUCGGGAGGAAUACCAGUGGCGAAGGCGGCCUUCUGGACUGACACUGACGCUGAGGUGCGAAAGCGUGGGUAGCAAACAGGAUUAGAUACCCGAGUAGUC
RNAcentral lists this ribosomal RNA (465 nucleotides) under Vreelandella stevensii. RNAcentral describes it as "partial 16S ribosomal RNA". It matches the Rfam family "Bacterial small subunit ribosomal RNA", at positions 338 to 795 of the family's 1533-position model. The record is from RNAcentral. Lineage: Bacteria; Pseudomonadati; Pseudomonadota; Gammaproteobacteria; Oceanospirillales; Halomonadaceae.